This is a long non-coding RNA of Cololabis saira (Pacific saury), 365 nucleotides long. RefSeq lists it as uncharacterized. NCBI's taxonomy places the organism in Eukaryota, Metazoa, Chordata, Actinopteri, Beloniformes, Belonidae. The transcript has 3 exons. The record is from RefSeq and is a predicted model, not a curated record.
CGCCGUCGUCUUGGACGAGAUGGUUGAAGGAUGUAAAGACGUUCAUCACCUCCAGGACUACAUCAGAUCUGGAAAACUUCCAGAAUCACAUCCUCAUGCAGGGAAGGUUCUCCUACACUCCAGCAGUGAAUCAUCAGGGAAGGUUCUCCUACACUCCAGCAGUGAAUCAUCAGGGAAGGUUCUCCUACUCCAGCAGUGAAUCACACGCGGACUCUCCCAGCACGAAACAAGGAUGGACACAAGAUGCUACUGCUACUAUAGUCAUUGUAUUUAUUUACAGUAACUUCUUACACUGUUUCAUAGUUCAGUUUUUAUUAUCAGUUCAUUAUUUUUAGAUAAUUUUUUUACUACUAUAUUUACACUUG